UCUGUCCCCAGUAGUUAAUCUUCCAUGGUUAUUCGAUGAGACGCUUGGGGAGAGGCUUUUAAGACGACUGCACUUCUCCCCUUGGUUAGGUAAGUGAGUUCCAGAGUGAGCCUGCCCCUGUGCUCAGGAGAGAAACCAGACAAGGUCAGAGGAACCUGGAUUCCGAGCAACUUCUCAGGCCUGAUAGCCGAUCAAAGCACCAUCUCAGGCUAUCUUUGCUUGGGCCUCAACAACAUGGCACUCCCUGGAACCCGAGAAUAUAAUACAGUUUUCGUGGUAAAGGAGAUUUGCAGGGAAGAGAACCUAUCCCAGCGACGUGGGAAUCUGAAGUGUAGCCAGAGAAGGGUCAGAAGGAUUCUGAAGGCGGAAGGGGCUGUGAGCUGUGGGACUUGGAGGUCUCGAGUAGCCGGAGAAAGUGCAGAUACACAUUCUUUGGAACUCUCAUCCUGCGGAAGAGCGCCUCCUGCAAUCUGUUGGAUUUUAGCCCAGUGACAUUUAUUUUGAAUUUCUAUUCUACAGAACAGUAA
This is a long non-coding RNA of Mastomys coucha (southern multimammate mouse), 527 nucleotides long. RefSeq lists it as uncharacterized. NCBI's taxonomy places the organism in Eukaryota, Metazoa, Chordata, Mammalia, Rodentia, Muridae. The transcript is spliced from 2 exons. The record is from RefSeq and is a predicted model, not a curated record.